Molecule: ribosomal RNA, 451 nt
Filed under: uncultured bacterium
Lineage: Bacteria
Description: bacterial SSU rRNA
Rfam family: Bacterial small subunit ribosomal RNA
Source: RNAcentral
UACGCUGGCGGCGCGCCUAAUACAUGCAAGUCGAACGAUGUAGCAAUACAUAGUGGCGCACGGGAGAGUAACACGUGGAUAAUCUCCCCUCGAGAGAAGAAUAACUAGUCGAAAGAUUAGCUAAUACUUCGUAAGACCACAGAAACGAAUGUUUCAGGGGUAAAAGUCGUAAGACGCUUGAGGAUGAGUCUGCGUCCCAUUAGCUAGUUGGUGAGGUAACGGCUCACCAAGGCGACGAUGGGUAGCUGGUCUGAGAGGAUGAUCAGCCUCACUGGAACUGACACACGGUCCAGACUCCUACGGGAGGCAGCAGUAGGGAAUAUUGCACAAUGGAGGAAACUCUGAUGCAGCGACGCCGCGUGAGUGAUGAAGGACUUCGGUUUGUAAAGCUCUGUUGUCAGGGAAUAAAAAAAUGAAUGUACCUGACGAGAAAGGACCGGCUAACUUCGUG